Molecule: ribosomal RNA, 253 nt
Filed under: uncultured bacterium
Lineage: Bacteria
Description: partial 16S ribosomal RNA
Rfam family: Bacterial small subunit ribosomal RNA
Source: RNAcentral
UACGUAGGUGGCAAGCGUUGUCCGGAUUUACUGGGCGUAAAGAGCGCGCAGGCGGUCGAUUUAGUCGCGUGUGAAAGCCCCCGGCUCAACUGGGGAGGGUCACGCGAUACUGAUCGACUCGAAGGCAGGAGAGGGUAGUGGAAUUCCCGGUGUAGUGGUGAAAUGCGUAGAUAUCGGGAGGAACACCAGUGGCGAAGGCGGCGUUCUGGACUGCAACUGACACUGAGGAACGAAAGCCAGGGGAGCAAACGGG